AAAUUACAAGAAGGAAUGGAUAUUAAUUAAAUUAAAAUUAUAGAAAGUUCCAUCACCCUUCUUCCCAUGGCCAUAUCUCAUAUCUGCAUCUUCUUCUUCCUUCAGUUUUUUUCCAGUUCUUCCCAUCCCCACACCUGCACCUUCUUCUUCCUUCUUCCCAUGGCCAAAUGAAUGGAAGAAGGCGGAGGAGGACUACUCGGAUCCGGUGCCGCAGACCCCGAUUCAUUUAAAGGAGAAGAAGAUAAAGACGACGGAAGCAAAGAGGUAAAAUUUAAUGGAGGCUCAGCUUGAUGAUGAUCUUUACUUCGAUUUUUGUUGGUUUUCAAUCUGAUUUUUUUCAUUCAACAGAGAGAGAUAGAAGAAAAGUUCAAGGGAGAAGAUUGAAGUACUUUUCUUGCAAAUCUCAGCGUAGUUUAUCAUGGGAUGAGGUCUGCUCGAAAUUGCAAUUUAUUUACUGCAUCUUUGGCCAAAUCAGUCUUGGUUGAAAUUUGAGAUUCCAGCUACAGUUUGACAAUCUUCUUCUCUGUGAUUUAUCUCCGUUCUUUGCUAAUGUAUGUUGUGUUCUUGCUUUUUCCCUAGUAGAGCUGCUUUUCAGUUCCAAAUAUUUUUGGGUAGGAACUGGAGUUGAUUAUUGUGAGGAUUGUACCUUCAGUUGCAAGGUUAGGUUUCACGCAUUGAUAUUUUUUGUUUGGUGUCCUAUAACAGUUCAGUCCAACCAUGUGUCGAUCCUUCUUACUUUAUCAAAUUACUAUCUCAACUACUGGAUUCCUUCAUAGGAAAUUGAAUUCGGGCAAACUUUGUCGUAGGGAGAAGGGACUUGAAGAAGAAGAUAGGUGUUGCAGUGUACAUAGAAUACAAGUCCAACACUCAACACGACGUGAAGGUAGUGUUUGAUGCUACAAUCAAGGUUGUUCUGCAGCCUCCCAAACAAAAGAAGUAAGGACUCCAGAAUAAUGGAUUGUAACCAACUUUUGUAUAUCAUAUUAGUGGCCUAUCAAAUUGGAAUAUGUAGCUGUCCAAUCCCAAAGAUCUUAUUAGCUGAAUCUACAUCCAAUCAAAUGAACAAUCCCUCAUACGACAAAGACGAAUAAUCUCCCGUGUCUGUGUUCCAAGAUGUGGACUUCAUAGACAUACCUGCACUGCCCUGCAGCGAAGCUGGCGCGAAAAGGAUGUCGUUGAGACAUUGAAGAAGUUCUUCUGCUGCGCACAAUAAAGGACCAAGACGAAAUCGGAUUGGUUUUUACUCAACCUGAUUAACCAUCUGAUUCUGGUUCCAUGAAGAAUAUAUCAGCCAACUGAUGCUGCUAUAUCAAAGACAUCAUCCUCCGAACUGCUCACUUAC
This 1342-nucleotide long non-coding RNA is filed under the name Linum usitatissimum (flax). RNAcentral describes it as "long non-coding RNA (LUSI_LNC008026)". Lineage: Eukaryota; Viridiplantae; Streptophyta; Magnoliopsida; Malpighiales; Linaceae. The record is from RNAcentral.